AUUGAACGCUGGCGGCAGGCCUAACACAUGCAAGUCGAACGGUAACAGGAAGACGCUUGCUUCUUUGCUGACGAGUGGCGGACGGGUGAGAAAUGUCUGGGAAACUGCCUGCUGGAGGGGGAUAACUACUGGAAACGGUAGCUAAUACCGCAUACCGUCGCAAGACCAAAGAGGGGGACCUUCGGGGCUCUUGGCUUCGGAUGCGCCCAGAUGGGUUUAGCUAGUAGGAGGGGUAACGGCUCACCUAGGCGGGGAACCGUACUUGGACUGGGAGGAGGGCCGGCCACACUGGAACUGGGACGCGGUCCAGACUCCUACGGGAGGCAGCAGUGGGGAAUAUUGCACAAUGGGCGCAAGCCUGAUGCAGCCAUGCCGCGUGUAUGAAGAAGGCCUUCGGGUUGUAAAGUACUUUCAGCGGGGAGGAAGGGAGUAAAGUUAAUACCUUUGCUCAUUGACGUUACCCGCAGAAGAAGCACCGGCUAACUCCGUG
This 490-nucleotide ribosomal RNA is filed under the name uncultured bacterium. Its description in RNAcentral is "partial 16S ribosomal RNA". It matches the Rfam family "Bacterial small subunit ribosomal RNA", at positions 30 to 507 of the family's 1533-position model. The record is from RNAcentral.